ACAUUGUUCAACGGCCGCGGUAUCCUAACCGUGCGAAGGUAGCGUAAUCACUUGUUCUUUAAAUAAGGACUAGUAUGAAAGGCGCCACGAGGGUCAUACUGUCUCCUUUCUCUAAUCAGUGAAACUAAUCUCCCCGUGAAGAAGCGGGGAUAAAAAUAUAAGACGAGAAGACCCUAUGGAGCUUAAAACAAAUAACACUUGCCCCCUCAACUUCUAAUUUCAGAAAAACUUUCUACCCGAGCAUUAUGGUUAUUAGUUUUCGGUUGGGGUGACCGCGGGGUAAAAAGCAACCCCCGCAAUGAAAGACACUCAUCCACUUAGUUAAGGGCUACAACCCCACACAUCAACAAAUUGACACUAAUUGACCCAACAUGUUGAUCAAUGAACCAAGUUACCCUAGGGAUAACAGCGCAAUCCACUUCAAGAGCCCCUAUCGACAAGUGGGUUUACGACCUCGAUGUUGGAUCAGGGUGUCCUAGUGGUGCAGCCGCUACUAAAGGUUCGUUUGUUCAACGAUUAAAACCCUACGUGAUCUGAGUUCAG
RNAcentral lists this ribosomal RNA (543 nucleotides) under Adenomera marmorata. RNAcentral describes it as "partial large subunit ribosomal RNA". It matches the Rfam family "Bacterial large subunit ribosomal RNA", at positions 1917 to 2614 of the family's 2925-position model. Lineage: Eukaryota; Metazoa; Chordata; Amphibia; Anura; Leptodactylidae. The record is from RNAcentral.